AUUGAACGCUGGCGGCAUGCCUUACACAUGCAAGUCGAACGGUAACGCGGGGGCAACCCUGGCGACGAGUGGCGAACGGGUGAGUAAUACAUCGGAACGUACCCAGUAGUGGGGGAUAGCUCGGCGAAAGCCGGAUUAAUACCGCAUACGACCUAUGGGUGAAAGCGGGGAUCGCAAGACCUCGCGCUAUUGGAGCGGCCGAUGUCGGAUUAGCUAGUUGGUGAGGUAAAGGCNCACCAAGGCUACGAUCCGUAGCUGGUCUGAGAGGACGACCAGCCACACUGGGACUGAGACACGGCCCAGACUCCUACGGGAGGCAGCAGUGGGGAAUUUUGGACAAUGGGCGAAAGCCUGAUCCAGCCAUGCCGCGUGUGUGAAGAAGGCCUGGUGUAAG
This 394-nucleotide ribosomal RNA is filed under the name uncultured bacterium. RNAcentral's name for it is "bacterial SSU rRNA". It matches the Rfam family "Bacterial small subunit ribosomal RNA", at positions 29 to 429 of the family's 1533-position model. The record is from RNAcentral.